AGUCUUUUGUCAGAGAAGUCAAGAAAUGUAAAAGUUCUUUUCUAGCAAAGAAGGCAUCAUCAUCAUUACAACGAAGUAUAUCAAUAUCAGGUGAUAUAUUUUCUGACACAGACGAAUUAAACGUUGACUCGGAUGGAUGCAAUUGUAGAGUUUGUUAUUGUCAAUUCAGAAAUCAGGCUGAAGUGAUAUCAACUGUUGACUCAUUGACUUCUCAUUGGAUACCAGCACAGUUAUGAUAGAGAAUAUACACAAAAUAUUGCUUAAUUACAAUAAGAUGAAGGUAAUUGUCGGUACACCUAGCAUGUGUUGAACAGUUAACAACAGCUUUGCUUUCAUGUUCUUAUCAAAUUUGAAAAAACUGAUCUUCUACCACACCAAGCUCAGCAUACUCAAACUAGGAGCACAUCAUCAGUGGAGGAGCUUGACAGGUUAGUUGUUAGGUUGGAAUUAGCCGCUUCUCCAUUUUUUUAUACAAGAUGCUUCAUCAAGUGAAGUUGCGUUUGUUGAAGAUCGAAGACUGAAUGUGAUAGUUCUUUUCUGUGCUUAAACAAAGCUGAGGCUGCUAUAAAAAAAAGAGUUAGCAAGAAACCUGCUAGACACUCUGUUUUUUAAGGAAGAGCAGUCCUGCAGCAGCAUAAAAGGGAAAGCACAAGAAAAACGACAACAGGAUGUGAAGAAAAUGGAAGCUUUAAGAAGUUUUUGUAUGCUGAGAUUUUUUUGGGUCCAGAUGAAGUACUUAUGGUCGUUUUGAACAAGUUGAACAAAAUGUCUGGAAACAAGUUCCGAUUUUAGUGUAAGAAGAGACUGUUUUAGUUUAGGCGAGAACUAUUUGCAUUGUAGUACUGUAUAAUAGAGAUCGAUAUUCUGAAUUGAUGUGGCGUUUAUAAAUGCAUACAUUGUAGA
Molecule: long non-coding RNA, 903 nt
Organism: Corticium candelabrum
Lineage: Eukaryota; Metazoa; Porifera; Homoscleromorpha; Homosclerophorida; Plakinidae
Exons: 6
Source: RefSeq, a predicted model, not a curated record